GGCGUCCUGGAGGCGGUGCCUUGAGUGGGGGCAGGAUAAGAGUCCUGGAGGCGGGCAUUAGGGCGGGGAUAAAUGCCAAUGGGUUCAGGAAGCGGGACUCAGAGCAGAGCCCAGGAGACAGGUCUUAGGGCGGGGCUAAGGCCAGACCCAGAGAAGGUCUCAGGAGGCGGGGCAGGGGCGGGGCGUUGACUAUGUCGUAGCACAUGGCCAGGCGGUGCGUGGACUCUGGGAGGCGAAGCUUAGGACGGGCCCACGUGGGGAGGAGCCCAGGGUCCGGGAAGCGGGGACGAGUCCGGGCUGGGCUGCGCUCAGGAGGCGGGCCCUCGGAGGCGGAGCUUAGGGAGGGGCCGGUGUCGGGAGGGACCCAGGGACUGGGAGGCCGGUCGGGGCUGGGCUCGGGGGCCGAGACCUAGCUGGGCUUGGGGCGGGGCCGAGACGGAGCGAGGGGUCCAGGGUGUGGGAAACGGGGAGGGAUUUGAGGAGGGGAUCGGAAUGUGACUCAAGUUCGGGAGGCGUUACCUGCGGAGGGUUUGAGGCAGGCCCAGGAGCGAGCCCAUGGUCUUCCGACGCGGGGCCGGGGGCGGGCCCCAGGAUCCGGAGCUUCGGGCGGGGCCGAGUCCGGGUUUGGGGCCCGGGAGGCGGGGCCAGUUAGGGCGAGGGUCCCUGGGAUCGUCGGGUCAGGCCUUUGGCUAACGUAGGCACUCUCGCAGUUCCUCCGCCUUCGGAAGGUCUUUUUAGCAGGGGCCUUACGGGUGCAUGCUUCGGUCCUGGAGGCCUUAUCCUAGCCUCCUCUCCAUCAGCGCCACCCGUCUGGGGCCCGAAAGGCGGGGCUUUCCCUCUGUCCCCCAGCCUUUGGACUGUCACCAAACAAGCCAUUUGUUCAUCAAAUACUUUUUAAGCGCCUACCAUGUGCCUGACAAGGGAGAUGUAAUGGUGAGAAAAACUAGGUGUGGUCCAGGCCCUUCAGAGGCUCAGGGGCUCGUGGAAGAAGUGGACAUUGAAGUACUUAUCACACAAAUGAGGAUAAAAGUACGAUAGCGAUAUCUACCACGAAGCUGUUGUUCCACACCAGAACCAAAUGAGCGCAAGAUCUGACAAAGAAAAAAAAAGAUUCAUCUUUUAUUCCUCCAAACACUUUCAUUUAAAUCAAGAGGAUGGGAUGUGGUUAUUGCUGUGUUUUUAGACAGAAUCAACGGUUUCUGGGUCUGAGAUGUUGCAUACACCCUCUCAGUCCCUGUAUCCUGAGAGGGAGUCACCUGAGAAUCCACAGCAAGUCCUAACCAGGGAUGGGUCUGGGUGAUUAAGGAAGAUUGGCUUCAGAACUGGGCCAGGGGCACUGCUUUGCUUUUGCUGUUUUGAUCAGCUCUCUGCCUGCAGGAGACAAGGAAAACCAAUGGGAACAGGUUAGUUAUACUCAUAAAUCCUGGGCUUAUUUUAUUAACUCACAUAAUAGCUAUUAAUUGUCUUUCCUCCAAGGAGCAAAAGGGCAUAUACGGUCAAUGUCAUAGUAAGUAACAUUGUAUUAUGUUAUACUAAAAUAUUAAUAAAUCUAGGUUGGUUCAGUCUUUCCUGAGUCCACAGAUUGGAAGCAGAUUGAGGAAGGACACUAGCGGACCACAGAGCUGAGCCAUGCACACAGAAGAAAUCUUUUUUUCUUUUUUUCUGGAGACGGAGUUUUGCUCUAGUUGUCCAGGCUGGAGUGCAAUGGUGCGAUCUCGGCUCACUGCAAUCUCCACCUCCCAGGUUCAAGCGACUCUCCUGCCUCAGCCUCCCGAGUAGCUGGGAUUACAAGCGUGAGCCACCCUGCCAGGCCACUUUUGUAUUUUUAGUGGAGACAGGGUUUGAACACCUUGGCCAGGCUGGUCUCAAAUUCCUGACCUCAGGUUAUCCACCCGCCUCUGCCUCCCAAAGUGCUGGGAUUACAGGCGUGACCCACCGCGCCUGGCCAGAAGAAAUCUUUAUCUUGGUGUGCAGUGUCUGGUGAUGGACAAAUGUCAUCUCUCUUGGAUCUGAAUCUGGAAGGAUCAGGGCACUGAAGGAAUUUUUUUUUUUUUUUCAGACAGUCUCCCUCUGUUGCCAGGCUGGAGUGCAGUAGCACGAUCUCAGCUCACGGCAACCUCUGUCUCCCGGGCUCAAGCGAUUCUCCUGCCUCAGCCUCUCGAGUAGCUGGGACUACAGGCACGCGUCACCACACCCAGCUAAUUUUUGUAUUUUUAGUAGAGACAGGGUUUUACCAUGUUGGCCAGGAUGGUCUCAAUCUCUUGACAUCAUGAUCCACCUGCCUUGGACUCCAAAAGGGCUGGGAUUACAGGUGUGAGCCACCAUGCCCGGCCUCACUGAAGGCAUUUUUUUAAUGUCACGUGGCUCUCACAGGUGCGCUGUGUUCAGGAGCAAGUGAAGAUUACGACUGACGCUUAAAAACAAACGUAAAAUUCCAGGUGGUGUUGCUAUGGGUAGCAGUAUUAGGACAAACUGAGUGGUUUCAGUGGCAAGAGUGUGCGUGUACGUGCAAGAACUACAGUCAAGAUUCAACUUCUGGCUUUGAGGGUCUCUUUAAUAACAGUAUCAACAACCUAAGGCAGUUUAACAGUAUGGAAUGGUUGCCUUUUAGAAGUUAAGCUAUGAGCAUGGAAGUUCAAUCAGUACAUUGAAGUUUUUCCUUUAUCUCUCCUAUGGUUAAUGGUUUCUGCAGAAAAGGACCAAUUGAUUUCUUUCUAAAACGUUGCUUCAGGGUGUAGAGACCUUUAUAGGUCAUGUUUCAACUUACAGAACAUUUUUAUAGUUCAAAUAUAAAUUAAGUUCAAUAUGGACUUUGUAACAGAAUUUAAGGUUAAGUAAAAUUUCCACUUUCCUUAGGCUGUUUGCAGUGCCCAGCAGGCCCCAUGAUAUCGAGAUGGAAGUUAUGUUAAAGGAGGAGAUUGGUCAGGGAUGGGCAGAAUAAGGAAUAUGGGCAGCUCAGGCUAAUGAUACAAUGAUUUUAAUGUAGAAAGAGGGUCAGGCAUGGGAUAACGCCUGUAAUCCCACUGCCUUUGGAGGCCAAGACAAGAGAAUCGCUUGAGGUUAGACCAGCCUGGUCAACAGAGUGAGACCUAACCUGUACAAAAAAAACCACAAAAAAACAAAAAAAUUAGUUGGGCAUGGUGGUGUGCGCCUGUAGUCUCAGCCACUUGGAAGGCUGAGGUCAGGGGAUGCCUUGAGCCCAGGAGUUUGAGGCUGCAGUGAGCUAUAAUCACAUAACUGUACUCCUGCCUGGGUGACAGGAUGAGGCCGUGACUCAAAAAAAAAUUGAGUCAGGGAAAAAAUUUGAAAUCUAAAUCCUCAGUACCGAGGAAUGUGACCUUAUUUGGAAAUAGGGUCUUUCUAGAUGUAAUCAAGUAACGAUGAGUCAUCCUGGAUUGGGGGCUGCUGGUGAGGGGGCAGAUGCAAUGACUGGUGUCCUUAUAAAAGAAGAGAAUGAGGGCCGGGCAUGGUGGCUCAUGCCUGUAAUCUCAACACACUUUGGGAGGGUGAGGUGGCGGGAUCAGUUGAAGUCUGGGGUUCGAGACCAGCCUGGGCAAUAAUAACAAUAAAGCCAUUUUAGAUUCCAAUCCACUGAAAGAAAACUGUCCCUUAGUUAAUGUCAUGAUUAUUGGAUCCAUGAAGUCUUUGAAAAUUUAAGCUACAAGGACACUGCUCUCUGAGGUGGUGGAAAGAAUACAAAGGAUUUAAAGGUCUUUAAGAAAGAGAAUGUAGAAAGCGUACUCAUUGGAAACAGCAGGAUGAUGAUAAUCGUACUGACAGCAAUAAUAAGCUCAAAUAUAUAGAGCUUACUAUGUAUCAUGAAUUGUUCUGAAUGCUUUAUAUAUAUAUGUUACCUCGUUUACCCUCACGGCAGCCCAGUAAAGGCGCCAUUCCCCAUUUUACAGCUGGGGAAACUGAGUUACAGAGCUUUUCUGCACUGAGUCAUCAGGGGCAAAUUGUAGAUCAGGUAAUUGAACCCAAGCAAUCUAGUUCCAGAGCCAAAUAGAUGUAUUUUUUAUGGUAUAAAUACAUAUACAUACACUUUUAGGGGAAGGGUGGGUGUAGGAUGGGAUGAGGAUUCUGGGUAAUUGCUUGGUAAAUGGCAAAUACCUUUCUUGUCUGUCCCUCUUUUCAAAUGAUAAAGUAAUUUCAAUUGCAACACUUUUUUUUUUUUUUUUUUUUUGAGACAAGGUCUAGCUGGAGUACAGUGAUGCAGUCAUAGCCCACUGCAGCCUCAAAUUCCUGGGCUCAAGCGAUCCACCCACAUCAGCUUCCCAAGUAGUUGGGACUACAGGCCCACACUACUAUGCCCAGCUAAUUAUUUUAAUUUUUAUAGAUAUGGCAGGUGGGGGUGGGGCUGUCUUGCUGUGUUGCCCAGGCUGGUCUCGAACUCUUGACCUCAAGUGAACCUCCUGCCUCAGCCCCACAAAGCUCUGGAAUUAUAGGUGUGAGCCACUGUGGCUGGCUACAAUGCUAUUUAUUUAUAUUUUAGACCAACACAUAUUCUAGCAUCUAAGAAAUGUGAUGCUCUCUGUACAUUGAAGAGCUGGUCUAAUAUUUGGCCUGGGGCAUACAGAAAUUGCCUGUCUGCUCCGCUCUGGUUGAAGAAACCAGUCGGACUGUCUCUGAGGCUAUGGAGCAGUCCAUCAAGAAUGAAAGCCCUCUGCCAGGCACGUUGGCUCACACCUGUAAUACCAGCACUUUGGGAGGUCGAGGCAGGUGGAUCACUUGAAGUCAGGAGUUCGACACCAGCAUGGCCAACAUGGUGAAACCCUGUCUCUACAAAAAAUAGAAAAAUUAGCUGGGCCUGGUGAUGUGUGCCUGCAAUCCCAGCUACUCAGGAGGCUGAGGCAGGAGAAUCACUUGAACUUGGGAGGCAGAGGUUGCAGUGGGGAGCUGAGAUCACAUCACUGCAUUCCAGCCUGGGUGACAGAGCGAGACUCUCAAAAAAAAAAAAAAAAAAAAAAAAGAAUGAAUGUCUUCAUGAUGGCCUCAAGCACGUUGGUCCCUGAAGAGAGUCAAGGAAGGCCCACUUUACUCUGCACUGCAAAGCAGGCAGGUGGACUGGAAUCUGAGAAGUGGAUUCAGUGAGAGGCAUUGACCCAAAGGAUUUUCUGCCUAAUGGUCGGUCCAGCAGAAGAUUAAACUGAGCACAUCAUCCUGUUCCCUCAAACCAUCUGGUUGGUCAGUGGGGAAUGUUCUUGUCUCGUUAAAUGUCCUCAUGCUACUGUCAAGAUAUCCUGUUACAAAACGUCAUAAACCAGGUUUACAAAUAGGUCAGGUGACUGUGGAAUUUCUCCUUGGCAAGGCCUUAGCUAUGGGAUUGCGAUUGGUGUGCAAUAAUCACAGUGUUCCAGGCCACUUGAGGGAUAAAAUAUACCUUAGGUGAUAAACUGUUGUAUUUUAAUGUGAAUAUUUCCACCAACAUUAAACACUAACCCCAUGAGUUUUCUCAUACCUGUUACACUCUGGAGUUGCAACAAGCUAACAUGAACCAAGUUGCAAACAUAAUUAUCGCAUUUGGCUCCUAUUCACAGCAAAGGUUCUUCAAGCUGUACCGGGGGCAGUCUUCCCUCACAUGAGGUUUAUAGCAUCAUUUAUUUAAUUAUGUAUUUAUUUUUUGAGACGGUGUUUCGCUCUGUCGCCCAGGCUGGAGUGCAAUGGUGCGAUCUUGGCUCACUACAACCUCCGCCCCCCGGGGUUCAAGCGAUUCUCCUGCCUCAGCCUCCCGAGUAGCUGGGAUUAUAGGCACCCGCCACCACACCCGACUAAUUUUUGUAUUUUCGGUAGAGACGGGAUUUCACCAUGUUGACCGCGCUGGUCUCAAACUCCUGACUUCAGUUAGGGUCUCUCUCUCUGCCACCCAGGCCAGAGUGCAGUUGACGCAGGGCAGGGGAGCCCCGAAGUGGAGCAUAGUGUGUCCGGAACUGUUGGGUUCUUGGUCUCACUGACUUCAAGAAAGAAGCCGCGGACCCUCGCGGUGAGUGUCACAGUUCUUAAAGGCGGCGUGUCCAGAGUUUGUUCCUUCUGAUGCUCGGAUGUGUUCAGAGUUUCUUCCUUCUGGUGGUUUUGUGGUCUCGCUGGCUUCAGGAGUGAAGCUGCAGACCUUCAAGAGACAGGGUCUUGCUACGUUGCCCAGGCUGGACUCAAAUUCCUGGGCUCAGGUGAUUCUUCUGCCUCAGCCUCCUGAGUAGCUGAGACUACAGGUGUGUGCCACUGUGCCUAAAAAGAUUUUAAAAAAAUACGUAUGCCCGGACACCACUCUAAACCAACUAAAUCAGAAUCAGAUAUCGUGAAGUCACUAAUCAUUUUGCUCCUGGGUCUUUAUGACAGUUUUGCUCCUGGGAAACUCCUGGGAAUGUGGUAGAGAGAGAGAAAGAGAUGGGAAAAUAAGAUUUUAAGAAGUGUUGCUAUGCAUUUUGAAAAUAAUUUUUAUUUGGUGUUUGUCUUGAGGGACGGCGGUAAACAUUUCAAUUGCCUUUAAGUGUGCUGCAUGCUGGAAUGAUGGUUCUUUGAAUGCAGCAUCAAACUGGCAUUGGGUCACAUGGCAGCCUGCAUUAACCUUUAUGCCACAUUUAUUAAAGAUGAAUGUCAUGAGCCCACUCUCAGGGACCUUAUAAUUUGGAGGGUUAGGUCAGAUCCACAAAUCUCUUGUAUCUCAUUGUAAAGGAAAGCUGGCGUGUAGCAGGAGAUGGUGUGAUAACAAUAACAUAUUGCAUGAUCAAUAUUUGUAUCUUCUUAGCAAUAUUAAACUUUUUGACCUCCUCCAUUGUGUCAUCAAUUUGCUUAACACAGUUUCUUCCUCAGCGUCGUUUUUUAGGCCUGGCAUAAGCUGUUUGAAACCCAGGCAUAUACCCCACCCAUCAUCUUUGGCCUAGUUAACACCUCCCCUCCCUGAGUGGUGCUUUGGAGAACCUGCUUGUUCCUCAUCCCACUGAUCCCAAACCCAGGACACCCCACAGCUGCUGACCAGGAUUAAACCUAACGGAGAUUUAAUGCCGUUAAAUCAGAAGAAAUUCUGAUUCUCAGGGACUGACAUUCAUUCACUUAAAUACUUGCAGAGUCGGCCAGGUGUGGUGGCCCACACCUGUAAUCCCAGCACUUUGGGCAGCCGAGGUGGGUGGAUCAUGAGGUCGAGUUCGAGACCAGCCUGGCCAACAUGCUGAAACCCCGUCUCUACUAAAAAUACAAAAAUUAACUGGUAUAGCUGUGUGUGCCUGUAAUCCCAGCUACUCAGGAGGCUGAGGCAGGGGAUUUGCUUGAACCUGGGAGGUGGAGGUUGCAGUGAGCCAAGAUUAUGCCAUUGCACUCCAGCCUGGGCAGCAGAGCGAGACUCUGUCUCAAAAAACAAAAAAACCCAAAAACUUGCAGAGUGAAUUUAGGAAACCAUGUAGUUUACAGUUUGAUGCAAUGUCUUCCUUUUCCUCUUUCUCAAAUAUUUUGAGCCAGGUACUAUCCUAGAUUGUCUUGUGAUAUUUACAAUCUAGGAGAAGGCAGGAGAGAGAACUAAGAACAGAGAGCAUGUUCUGAGAUGUCUGCUGUGUCUGCAGGUACCUUCCCUCAAUUUCCCUAUUCACUGGCCAUGAUGGAAAGCAGGUCUUGGAGCCAUAUUUGUACCAUGGUACUUCCCCUUCCUAUACUCAAUUGGUUGGCCAGAAGCCCAAUUGUCAUUCUCUCUCUCUCUCUCUCUCUCCCUCUCCCUCUCUCCCUCCCUCCCUCCCUCCCUCUCCAAGAUAUCCAGUAACUGACUGAUCAGCUGGCGGUGGGCUCUGCUGGCUGCCAUGAUGGGCCACCAGCAAAAAGGGAAAAUUGGUUGUGAGUGAGAAGAAGAGAUAAGAAAGUCCACAGGGCUGAUAAGAAAGACCAUGGGCUUCCAGGUGCGGUGGUUCACGCCUGUAAUCCCAGCACUUUGGGAGACCAGGAUGGCCAGAUCACAAGGUCAGGAGAUCGAGACCAUCCUGGCUCACACGGUGAAAGCCCAUCUCUACUAAAAAUACAAAAAUUAGCUGGGUGUGGUGGCGGGUGCCUGUAGCCCCAGCUAAUUGGGAGGCUGAGGUGGGAGAAUGGCGUUAACCUCAGGAGGUGCAGCUUGCAGUGAACUGAGAUUGCACCACUGCACUCCAGCCUGAGCGACAGAGCGAGACUGCGUCUCAAAAAAAAAAAAAAAAAAAAAAAAGAAAAAAAGAAAAAAAAAGAGACCAUGGGCUUCUGAGAGCAAGAAAGAGGAAUUUUGGUUUCUGUAACUGCAGUUUCCAUUCUCUCAUGGCCUCUCAUUUGUUUCUUGUGCCCAUGAGUUUGCCUGUUAGAGAUAAGGUGUGUUCCUUGUCCUCAAGUUCAUGCAAAUGGGUUUCUGUUACUUACAAUCAUUGUUCCCAGAUAUGGAUGGUGACUGAUGCUCUACUAAAUGCUGAAAAAAAGCAGAGUGGAAGCACAGAAAAGCGGACUUCUCUGAGGAGGUGACGUUAGAGCCCAGUUGGAAGGCAGGAGUAAAUGUGCACCAUGAUUUUUUAGGAUUAAAACCAAGUAUCUCACUGCUUGGGCACGUGUAGAUAGAGGUGAUUUAACGGUAAAGUGUCCCAGUUGUACCCAUUGUGAGUUACCUCACCACAGGGAUUAUGUAGCCCUGAGUUUGCUUAGUGCUUAUUUAUUUUAGGUUGUUGUUUAUCCAAACCUCUUAAAUGAUAUGUGUUUGGAACAGGUAACAGCAUCGUUCAUUGAUGUUGUGGGCAAACCACUAUUUUAUUACUCAAGACUGGGUAAUUUAUAAAGAAAAAGAGGUUUAAUGGGCUCACAGUUCCAUGUGGCUGAAGAAGUCUCGAAAUCAUGGUGGAAGGCAAAAGGAAUGUCUUACAUGGUGGCAGACAAGAGUGAUAGCUAUUUUGGUCAUUGUUCGCUGGCCAUAGAAUUUACUUCUAUAUUUUGAACUAAGAUGAGAGCCAGGCACACAAGACGGUUACAGGUCUGUCUUUUGUUUUUGAUGAUGAUGAUGAGGAUGAUGAUGAUGGUGAUGAUGAUGAAAUGGCUGACAUGGUUGAUGACUUGCUUUUUCUCAUCAUCUCAGACCUAGAUUUUUGGCUGGACAAUUGGCUUGGGAUAGAUGAAAAUCAUUCCUUGUAUCCCCUUAUCUUAAAGUCAAGACUGAACCAGCCUCCAGACUCAAUCUUUCAUGGGACUUCAGAUACCAUGAGGAAUGGGUGUCCCUGCAAUAUUGUCAUGGCUGUCAAAAGUGUUAUUGGAGCUGGGCAAGUGGGCGCUCUCCUGUCAUUCCAUCCUGCUUAGAUUUCCCAUUCAACACCAAUCUUAUUUCCUUUUUUUUUUUUUUUUUGACAGAGUCUUGCUCUGUCUUCUAGGCUGGAGUGCAGUGGUGGGAUCUCGGCUCACUACAGUCUCCACCUCCCAGGUUUAAGUGAUUCUUGUGCCUCAGCCUCCCACGUAGCUGGGGUUGCAGGUGCACAUCAUCAAGCCUGGCUCUCUCUUUUUUUUUUUUUUUUGUACUUUUAGUAGAGACAGGGUUUCGCCAUGUUGGCCAGGCUGGUCUUGAACUCCUAACCGCAAGUGAUCCACCUACCUCUGCCUCCCAAAGUGCUGGGAUUACAGGUGUGAGUCACCGUACCUGGCCCCAUUUCCUCUUAUACCAUAAGUCAUUGCCUGCAGAUGUGUUUUCUCCAUUAGUUUGCAAAAGAUUCCUGAGAGUCGGUCUGUGCCUCAUUUACUCUGGAAUCUCCCUGGCACAAAGCAUAGGGCUUUAUCUUCAGCAGGCAUCCAACAAAUGUUUAGUUUCAUUCAACAGCUCCUCUUACCACUGCCCCCACCUUAUUUGCAGGUGGCUAAGUACAAUCGGAACAAGUAGGUAUCAUAAGAUUUAGUCCAGAGUCAAUUUGAGAAGAAAUUACUUUAGUGAUAUGAAAAUAAACCAUGCUAUUUAGUCAGAAUACUUCUGAGAGUAUCCCCUGUCCAAGCAUUUGCUGAAUUUUGAUCUACUAUUUUUCAGGUGGAACAGUAUGCCUGCAGAGAGUCCAUUUGGACAUAGAUACACUUUCAUACAUUCAUGUCUUUAACAAUAAUUUGUGUCCCUACUGUGUUUGUUCACUAACUCCUUUGAACCUACCACAUAAGCUAUAUCUGUAUUUUCCUUGUAAUUUGGGAGGUCCAAUGCUUCAUUACGCUCAUAUGCCUGAAACUAAUGACGAAAACAGCUCGUUAACCAGCUAGUAUAAAAGUAGCCACCAAAUCAAGUCAAUCACCUGCCUUAAAUCAGCCCAGUAAUCCCAUCUUGAGCGGAGAAGCCUAUUCUGAAUCACAGUCAAGACAUUGAUGGAAAAACAGCUCCCUCUGGGGAUCAAAACCACGCUCACUCCAAAUCCUCCUCCCCAGAGUUCUACUCAUUGCUCACCCACUGAACCCAGAACAAACCAGAAGUGCUUGAAAUGAGGACGGGUAGCUCCGUGUACCAAUCGGAAUUUAAAACUCUAUCAAUUCCUGCUAUAGAAAUGAGGCUUCUCCCCAGGACCAGCAUUCCACGAAGGCAGCCCUUUUCUAGAUGGAGAAAACAGAAUCUGAAGACACCCGUUUCCCUAAACUGCUCUCGCUCAUGUAAACUCCUGGAGGGCAGAGGCAGGCCUGCCAUCUUCAUCAUUGCAUUACCACCACCCAACACUAUCGGGGGACCUGCCCUGAUAAUCAGUCUACAGGUGUAUUCAGCAGCUCCAGAGAGACAGCGACCAGCGAGAAGGGGCCAUGAUGAUGGUGGUGGUUUUGUCAAAACGAAAAUGGGGAUAUGUAGGGAAAAGAAAGAGAGAUCAGACUGUUACUGUGUCUACAUAGAAAGGGAAGACAUAAGAGACUCCAUUUUGGAAAAGACCUGUACUUUAAACAAUUGCUUUGCUGAGAUGUUGUUAAUCUGUAGCUUUGCCCCAGCCACUUUGCCCCAACCACUUUGACCCAAUCUGGAGCUCACAAAAACAUGUGUUGUAUGAAAUCAAGGUUUAAGGCAUGUAGGGCUGUGCAGGAUGUGUCUUGUUAACCAAAUGUUUGCAAGCAGUAUACUUGGUAAAAGUCAUCACCAUUCUCUCGUCUCAAUAAACCAGGGUCACAAUGCACUGUGGAAAGCCGCAGGGACCUCUGCCCUUGAAAGCUGGGUAUUGUCCAAAGUCUCUCCCCAUGUGAUAGUCUGAAAUAUGGCCUCGUGGGAUGAGAAAGACCUGACGGUCCCCCAGCGCGACACCCAUAAAAGGUCUGUGCUGAGGUGGAUUAGUCAAAGAGGAAAGACUCUUGCCGUUGAGAUAGAGGAAGGCCACUGUCUCCUGACUGCCCCUGGGAACUGAAUGUCUCGGUAUAAAACACGAUUGUACAUUUGUUCAAUUCUGAGAUGGGAGAAAAACCGCCCUAUGGUGGGAGGCGAGACAUGUUUACAGCAAUGCCGCCUUGUUAUUCUUUACUCCACUGAGAUGUUUGAGUGGAGAGAAACAUAAAUCUGGCUUACAUGCACGUCCAGUCAUAGUACCUUCCCUUGAACUCCAUUAUGACAUAGAUUCUAUUGCUCACAUGUUUGUUGCUGACUUUCUCCUUAUUAUCACCCUGCCCUCCUACUACAUUCCUUUUUGCUGAAAUAAUGAAGAUAAUAAUCAAUAAAAAACUGAGGGAACUCAGAGGCUGGUGCCAGUGCAGGUCCUUAGUAUGCUAAGCGCCGGUCCCCUGGGCCCACUGUUGUUUCUCUAUA
RNA transcript from Pan troglodytes (chimpanzee), 11719 nucleotides. It is a transcript of the gene named putative glycosyltransferase ALG1L2, with no coding region annotated. The transcript has 6 exons. The record is from RefSeq and is a predicted model, not a curated record. NCBI's taxonomy places the organism in Eukaryota, Metazoa, Chordata, Mammalia, Primates, Hominidae.